RNAcentral lists this ribosomal RNA (437 nucleotides) under Helcococcus sp. canine oral taxon 069. Its description in RNAcentral is "bacterial SSU rRNA". It matches the Rfam family "Bacterial small subunit ribosomal RNA", at positions 9 to 456 of the family's 1533-position model. The record is from RNAcentral. Lineage: Bacteria; Bacillati; Bacillota; Tissierellia; Tissierellales; Peptoniphilaceae.
GAGUUUGAUUCUGGCUCAGGACAAACGCUGGCGGCGUGCAUAACACAUGCAAGUCGAACGAAAUCUACAUGAUUUAGUGGCGAACGGGUGAGUAACACGUGAGAAACCUGCCUUACACAGAGGGAUAGCCGUUGGAAACGACGAUUAAUACCUCAUGACACCGUGACAUCGCAUGAUGAUGCGGUCAAAGAUUNAUCGGUGUAAGAUGGUCUCGCGCCUGAUUAGCUGGUUGGUGGGGUAACGGCCUACCAAGGCGACGAUCAGUAGCCGAUCUGAGAGGGUGGACGGCCACAUUGGGACUGAGACACGGCCCAAACUCCUACGGGAGGCAGCAGUGGGGAAUUUUGCACAAUGGGGGAAACCCUGAUGCAGCGACGCCGCGUGAACGAAGAAGGCCUUCGGGUUGUAAAGUUCUGUCCUUGGUGAAGAUAAUGACA